UACGUAGGGACCGAGCGUUGUCCGGAAUCAUUGGGCGUAAAGAGCGUGUAGGCGGCCACUUAAGUCCUGCGUGAAAUCUUGCGGCUCAACCGCAAGCGGUCGUGGGAAACUGGGUGGCUAGAGUGCGGGAGAGGAGAGUGGAAUUCCGCGUGUAGCAGUGAAAUGCGUAGAUAUGCGGAGGAACACCGAUGGCGAAGGCAAUCCCCCUGGGCCUGCACUGACGCUCAUGCACGAAAGCGUGGGGAGCAAACAGG
Molecule: ribosomal RNA, 254 nt
Filed under: uncultured bacterium
Lineage: Bacteria
Description: partial 16S ribosomal RNA
Rfam family: Bacterial small subunit ribosomal RNA
Source: RNAcentral